GUGAUAUCAGUGAUCAAUAGCGGAGUGAGAACUGCGCGACUCCAGGAGGAGCAUGCGGCUCUGCUUACUAUUCAGGCUCUGUGUGCUGUGGGGUUUCGUGGCGGUCACAUCCUCCGCCGCGACCAAGGCCGGGAGGAAAAAGGUGGCAGGCCGGAGGUCCAGGCAGGUGUUUGAGGCGGAGCCAGCAGAAGGGGUGUGGUCUGCCUGGG
RNAcentral lists this long non-coding RNA (209 nucleotides) under Myripristis murdjan (pinecone soldierfish). Its description in RNAcentral is "lncRNA (ENSMMDG00005006767.1)". Lineage: Eukaryota; Metazoa; Chordata; Actinopteri; Holocentriformes; Holocentridae. The record is from RNAcentral.